Molecule: long non-coding RNA, 530 nt
Organism: Bicyclus anynana (squinting bush brown)
Lineage: Eukaryota; Metazoa; Arthropoda; Insecta; Lepidoptera; Nymphalidae
Exons: 2
Source: RefSeq, a predicted model, not a curated record
UGUAUAGAUACUUAAUCAUGAGGUUAUUUUUACUGUUCGUCCUCGCUCUCAUCUGUGUGGUCGGUGCUAAUGCAUUUACUGUACCUGAUAAAGAAAUCGUCGACCAACCUAUAAAGGCUAAAGAUGAACACAUAGAAGUCAACUAUAGAGUGAAACGGGACAGGCUUUUUUGCAAAACGCAUAAGGAGUGUAACAGUUUCUGCAGAGACGUCGUUGGACAUAGGAAGGGGACAUGCCAUCUCAUUUGCUUUUGUUAUUAACCAAAUAUAAUCGAUAUUCAACAAUAAAGGCAGAAAACGGAACGUUUGUAGUGACAACUGACAGCAAAUGUCAGCUUUGACAACUUUAUAAAUAUACCCGGCUUUUGCGGCUUUUUCCGAUAACCGCAAAAUAGACACUACGUUUUCACAAUUAGCAGUUUUUAAAAAGUAAAACCUGUGUUUUUCAUUGAGCCUGGCCUUUACAAUGAUACUCUUUUUACUACACUGUUGAUUGGAAUUUUCUGAAUAAAUGUAUACUUAAACUAAUUA